GUCAGCCGGCAGCCUUGACUUCCGAGCCCACCACCAAGUAGGCCUUAACGAAACCUCACUCGCAACCCAGCAAUUCCCGGCCUGCGAUGCCAAGUUCAGCGAGUACACCCCGUGCCAGGACCCGAAGAGGGCGAGGAAGUACGAGAAGAAGAUGCUCAUUUACCGCGAGCGACAUUGUCCGGCGAAAGAGGAGCUACUACAUUGCCUCAUCCCUGCUCCUCCAAAGUACAAGAACCCCUUCAAGUGGCCCCAGAGCCGAGAUUAUGCGUGGUA
This 273-nucleotide unclassified non-coding RNA is filed under the name Hevea brasiliensis (rubber tree). Lineage: Eukaryota; Viridiplantae; Streptophyta; Magnoliopsida; Malpighiales; Euphorbiaceae. The record is from RNAcentral.